AGUACGUAGUCGUUGACCCGAAACCGGGUGAUCUACCCAUGUCCAGGAUGAAGUUCCGGUAACACGGAAUGGAGGUCCGAACCUGUUGGUGUUGAAAAACCAUAGGAUGAGGUGUGGGUAGGGGUGAAAUGCCAAUCGAACCCGGAGAUAGCUGGUUCUCCCCGAAAUAGCUUUAGGGCUAGCCUCGGAUCAAGAGUCAUGGAGGUAGAGCACUGAUUGGGCUAGGGGCCCC
RNAcentral lists this ribosomal RNA (232 nucleotides) under Laceyella tengchongensis. RNAcentral's name for it is "partial 23S ribosomal RNA". It matches the Rfam family "Bacterial large subunit ribosomal RNA", at positions 698 to 929 of the family's 2925-position model. Lineage: Bacteria; Bacillati; Bacillota; Bacilli; Caryophanales; Thermoactinomycetaceae. The record is from RNAcentral.